UACCCGCUGAGUUUAAGCAUAUCAAUAA
Molecule: ribosomal RNA, 28 nt
Filed under: Thuja plicata (western redcedar)
Lineage: Eukaryota; Viridiplantae; Streptophyta; Pinopsida; Cupressales; Cupressaceae
Description: partial 26S ribosomal RNA
Source: RNAcentral